CGGCAGCACAUACCGGUACACUAAAAUUGGAACGAUACAGAGAAGAUUAGCAUGGCCGCUGUGCAAGGCAAGUGCCCUACUGCUGAGCUAGAACACUUUCAC
This is a small nuclear RNA of Lacerta agilis (Sand lizard), 102 nucleotides long. Lineage: Eukaryota; Metazoa; Chordata; Lepidosauria; Squamata; Lacertidae. The record is from RefSeq and is a predicted model, not a curated record.